CACCACCAUUAGCGUCACCAACAGGUCAGUACAUCUCACACCACCAUCACCAACAGGUCAGUACAUCUCACACCACCAUCACCAACAGGUCAGUACAUCUCGCACCACCAUCACCAACAGGUCAGUACAUCUCACACCACCAUCACCAACAGGUCAGUACAUCUCACACCACCAUCACCAACAGGUCAGUACAUCUCACACCACCAUCACCAACAGGUCAGUACAUCUCACACCACCAUCACCAACAGGUCAGUACAUCUCACACCAUCACCAACAGGUCAGUACAUCUCACACCACCAACAGG
Molecule: long non-coding RNA, 304 nt
Organism: Haliotis rubra (blacklip abalone)
Lineage: Eukaryota; Metazoa; Mollusca; Gastropoda; Lepetellida; Haliotidae
Exons: 3
Source: RefSeq, a predicted model, not a curated record